Molecule: ribosomal RNA, 468 nt
Filed under: uncultured bacterium
Lineage: Bacteria
Description: partial 16S ribosomal RNA
Rfam family: Bacterial small subunit ribosomal RNA
Source: RNAcentral
GGGGGGGGCGGGGGGGGGGGUGGACGCAGGCGGGGCGGGCGGGAGGGCCCUGCUGUUGUGGGGUGCUCGAGUGGCGAACGGGUGAGUAACACGUGAGUAACCUGCCCUUGACUUUGGGAUAACUUCAGGAAACUGGGGCUAAUACCGGAUAGGAGCUCCUGCUGCAUGGUGGGGGUUGGAAAGUUUCGGCGGUUGGGGAUGGACUCGCGGCUUAUCAGCUUGUUGGUGGGGUAGUGGCUUACCAAGGCUUUGACGGGUAGCCGGCCUGAGAGGGUGACCGGCCACAUUGGGACUGAGAUACGGCCCAGACUCCUACGGGAGGCAGCAGUGGGGAAUAUUGCACAAUGGGCGGAAGCCUGAUGCAGCAACGCCGCGUGCGGGAUGACGGCCUUCGGGUUGUAAACCGCUUUCGCCUGUGACGAAGCGUGAGUGACGGUAAUGGGUAAAGAAGCACCGGCUAACUACGUG